CGGGCCGGGCCGGGCGGGCGCGCGCGGAGCGACCGCGGCCCUCGGGCCAAGCGGGGCAGUGAGCGAGAGCAUGAUCAUUGCAUCUCCACAGGACCUGCUCCUUCAGGCCUUUCCUGACGUCAGCUAUGCGGCUCUCCAUCCACAGAGAUAACACAGAGGGUACACAGCAUACACUGGAGGUGGUGGGGCGCUCCUGCCUAGGGGAAGGCAGUGGUGCCAUCCUGUCUGUGCCUGGGAUGCAGAGGGUCUUCAGCCUCUCUGGUGGAUUCCCAGCCCGGCUUCCCAC
Molecule: long non-coding RNA, 286 nt
Organism: Camarhynchus parvulus
Lineage: Eukaryota; Metazoa; Chordata; Aves; Passeriformes; Thraupidae
Exons: 3
Source: RefSeq, a predicted model, not a curated record